AACGAACGCUGGCGGCAGGCCUAACACAUGCAAGUCGAACGAGAAGCUUCUUUCGGGAAGUGGAGAGUGGCGCACGGGUGAGUAACGCGUGGGAAUUUGCCUCCUGGUACGGGAUAACGUUUGGAAACGAACGCUAAUACCGUAUGUGAUCUACGGAUUAAAGAUUUAUCGCCAGAAGAGAAGCCCGCGUAGGAUUAGGUAGUUGGUGUGGUAAUGGCGCACCAAGCCUACGAUCUCUAGCUGGUCUGAGAGGACGAUCAGCCACACUGGAACUGAGACACGGUCCAG
RNAcentral lists this ribosomal RNA (288 nucleotides) under uncultured bacterium. RNAcentral's name for it is "partial 16S ribosomal RNA". It matches the Rfam family "Bacterial small subunit ribosomal RNA", at positions 29 to 334 of the family's 1533-position model. The record is from RNAcentral.